GACAGAGGGUGCAAACGUUGUUCGGAAUUACUGGGCGUAAAGCGCGUGUAGGUGGAUUGGUGUGUCAGAUGUGAAAUCCCUGGGCUCAACCCAGGAACUGCACCUGAAACUACCAGUCUUGAGUGGUGGAGAGGGAAGUGGAAUUCCUGGUGUAGAGGUGAAAUUCGUAGAUAUCAGGAGGAACACCAGUGGCGAAGGCGGCUUCCUGGACACCAACUGACGCUGAGACGCGAAAGCGUGGGGAGCAAACAGG
This 253-nucleotide ribosomal RNA is filed under the name uncultured bacterium. Its description in RNAcentral is "partial 16S ribosomal RNA". It matches the Rfam family "Bacterial small subunit ribosomal RNA", at positions 524 to 776 of the family's 1533-position model. The record is from RNAcentral.